ACUAGCUUGUGCAAAAAAUUCUUUCUAUAUUUAACGAUAUCAUUCCACUUAACAUGAAAAGACAAUAUAAAUUCUACGGUGUACCUAUCACAUUCCUUGAACUAUGCAAAAAGGAUCAAAUGCAGUUUCAAAGCUAAAAUUCUUUCUUUGAAGGCGUGGAUACGGUUUAUUAGUAUCAAAAACGUGUAUGUAAUUGCUCAAGUCUGGAAAUCCAAAAGGGACCGAGCACCCCAUAAUAAUAUGCUUGGAACAUAAGUGAAACAAAAAUACAAUACUCGUUCUCAAUAAGAAAUGCCACUUUGCCACCCAUCCGGCAACAGAAUUCAGCUAAAAUCGGUUCAUCAAAAGGCAGUUGAACCAAGUCAAACCCAGGAAACAACAAUCCUUAAGACUACCAACUAAACCAGAUCCAGAAACAACAGUUGGAGUUUUGGUAUUAAUCCUUCCUGA
RNAcentral lists this unclassified non-coding RNA (450 nucleotides) under Hevea brasiliensis (rubber tree). Lineage: Eukaryota; Viridiplantae; Streptophyta; Magnoliopsida; Malpighiales; Euphorbiaceae. The record is from RNAcentral.